AACGAACGCUGGCGGCAUGCCUAACACAUGCAAGUCGAACGAGACCUUCGGGUCUUGUGGCGCACGGGUGCGUAACGCGUGGUAACCUGCCCUUAGGUUCGGAAUAACUCCCCGUAAGGUGUGCUAAUACCGGUUAAUGUCUUCGGACCAAAGAUUUCUCGCCUUUGGAUGGGCCCGCGUUGGAUUAGCUAGUUGGUAGGGUAAAAGCCUAUCAUGGCGAGGUUCCAUAGCUGGUCUGAGAGGAUGAUCAGCCACACUGGAAAUGAGACACGGACCAGACUCGUACGGAAGGGAGGAGUGGGGAAUAUUGGACAAGGGGCGAAAGCGUGAUAAAGCAAUGCCGGGGGAGAGAUGAAGGGCUUAGGGUUGUAAAGCUGUUUUAGACGGGAUGAUAAUGACAGUACCGGGAGAAUAAGCACCGGCUAACUACGUG
RNAcentral lists this ribosomal RNA (433 nucleotides) under uncultured bacterium. RNAcentral's name for it is "partial 16S ribosomal RNA". It matches the Rfam family "Bacterial small subunit ribosomal RNA", at positions 29 to 507 of the family's 1533-position model. The record is from RNAcentral.